CGCCCCAGAAAACGCGGCACACGCUUUUGAGGCUUUCGCAAGAGAUUCAACUGAGUCACUGAAAGAGCAGCGAUGUUGUCGGAUCAAACUCCACGCUGCGGACAUCCCUCUUGGGGCACAGAAGGUACCAAUAUUAGGGCCACCCUACCCAGGGCUGAAGCCAGUCACGUUUGUUCUGAGAGAAAUGAAAAGCUGGAAAAUACGGAGUAAAGAAAAGCUCAAUGAAAUGUGGAGUUUUCACAUGCAUAUGAAGCAACUGAAAAUACCACGGCUUGGGUGAGGUGGACCUUAGUCCUCAGAGUGACAUCUUUGCUUUUCAACACUCGAAAGAGGUCUUUUGUUGGAUUUCCUGACUGCUGCUUCCCUGGAAGUUGAUUGUGGAUGAUAGAUGGAGACUUGGUGGCUCAGUGGUUAAGAGGUACAGCCGCAAACCAGAGACUGUGUGGGCAGCUUCUAUCUGGAGUUCAUUUCAUAGGCCUGUCUAAUCUUUGGCUGAAAGGUGGACUUUGGAAUCGACUCACUUUGGAUGCAUUGUCGGGAAAGUCCAAUCUUGAGAAGGAUAUCAUGUUUGGCAGAGGGCCAGUGAAAACAAGGGACACCUUUAUUGACACAAUGGCUGCAGCAGUGGACUCCAGCAUGUCAUCGAUCAUGAAGAUGGCACAGGGCUGGCAACGUUUUGUUCUGUUAUACAUUAGGUUGCCAAGAGUCGGAGCUGAUUCCAUGGCAACUAACAACAGCAAGAAGGCUAUUUUAUAACUCUUUGUCAGAGUAGAGGGAUCCCUGGGUGGCUUGUUGAAAACUGACAGUAAUACAAAUGAUUCUUGUCCAAAGCACUGCAAAUGAACUUUGUUCCAUAGAGAUGUCACCUAUAGGGUAUUAACCAGUUCUGCAUGUAUUAAUUAGCAACUUCAUGUCAGCCUUUCUGUAUAUCUCUUCUAUAUCUAUAUUUCUGUUCUUCAAAUUCUGCUUUCACCUAGUCUUAACAUCUUAUUGGUUCCCUCAGAAUUAAUGAGUUGAAUAAAAUCUUUGAUCUAUGUUCAUUUUAUAUUUGCAUGAGAGUCAUGCUUUUAAGCUUUUGAAAAUUAUACUUUAGAGAUAAAAAGAAUGAGGACACAAUUGGCAGGAUUCUGAAAUGAUUUCAUUGUAGUGGAAAGCUGGAAAAAGGUAAAAGUCUCUUCAGUGAUACUUUUGCUCCCCUGCCCUGUUCUUUCCCUAUUUUACCACCAGUUUGUUUCAGUUUUUUAUAAGACAGAAAAUCGAUGCUAAUAACCCCAUAACAUAAAUGAUCCAUAAUUUACACCGUAACAGAAUUAAAUAAAAGAACAAAACCUCGAAACACUCUCUAAUUAGCUCUGAAAAGUGACUGAUCUAUAGUGGAUACAGAAUCUGCAUUUUGUUUCAAUAAUAAGCUUCUUAAGUAGAAAGAGAAGGAUUUUGACAAAUUAAAGAACUUUCGUACAGUAUGUUGUACCUUCGUAAACAUAAUGGUACAAGUUACAGUAUUCUUUCUGAGAUUCCAGGAUUUGACCUGAAAAUGUUUUCUUUGCAUAUUCAGCUGUCUCUGAACAAAUAAGAGUAGGAUACCUCCUCUUAUCCUGGUAUAUAUAUUUUUUGUUGUUGUAAAAAUGUAUAUAACACAACGUUGGCAAAUUGCACACUGGUCUGAUUUCUGAUUGUUACUCACCAGAAUAUAUCGCUAGCCUCCCUCUUUCACUUCUUCAUAGCUACUGACGUUAACAUUUUUUUCCUCCUAGAUUUUCUUUCAAAUAUGUGUUGAUUAUCACAUUAUUUAAUCUUUCUCCCUAAUUACAUAAACAUGUGUAAGACUAUGCAUGUCACAGUUAUUUUGUUACAUAUGCAUAUAAAUCCAUAGCUUCAUUGAAAGCAAAACCAAAUGUUUAAUUCCCCUCAUAUCACAGAAAAUGCUAUGAAAUGAAGAGAGGAAAAGUUUCCGUGAGCCUCUAGAGCUGGGCUCUCCAAUAUAGUAGCCACCAGCCAUAAGUGGUGUUAUGGAUUGAAUUGUGUCCCCCCAAAAGUGUGUGCCAGCUUGCCUAGACCACAAUUCCCAGUAUUGUGUGAUUGUCCACCAUUUUGUCAUCUGAUGUGAUUUUCCUAUAUGUUGUAAAUCCUACCUCUAUGAUGUUAAUGAGUGGGAUUAGCGGCGGUUAUGUUAAUGAGGCAGGACUCAAUCUACAAGAUUAGGUUGUGUUUUAAGUCGAUCUCUCUCGAGAUAUAAAAAGAGAGAAGCAAGCAGAGAGACACGGACACCUCAUACCACCAAGAAACGAGCUAGGAGAAUAGCACGUCUUUUGGACCUGGGGUCCCUGUGCUGAGAAGUUCCUCGACUGGGGAAGAUUGAUGACAAGUUCCUUUCCCCAGAGCCGACAGAGAAAGAAAGCCUUCCCUGGAGCUGGUGCCCUGAAUUCAGAAAUCUAGCCUCCUAGACUGUGAGCAAAUAAAUUUCUCUUCAUUAAAGCCAUCCACUUGUGAUAUUUGUUAUAGCAGCACUAGUUGACUAAGACAUGUGGCUAUUUAGGUUUAAACUAAUUAAAAUAUUAAAAAAUUAAAAUUCAGUUUCUUACUCACAUAGCCACUUUUCAGUUGCUCAAUAGCCGCGUUUGGCUAGUGGCUGCUGCAGGGAACGAUGCACAUAGAGAACAUUUCCAUCUUCACAGAAAGCUCUGUUGCGGAGUGCAACCUUAGAGACCACAGUUGGAACGCACAUAAUUAUGACUCUGUGAUCAAUAUAAUCAUAUCUUGUAAAUCUUUAUUUUACUCUCCGAAGUUUCCUUUGAUAAACAACCACCACAUUGAAUUACAGUGCUCUCUUUAGCAUGGACAUCUGUGAGGAAGAUAAAAGCUAGACCUUUUUCAGCUAAUCAUGUGCGUCGUAAAAGAGCUCAGACCAGAUUUCUGAAAAGAUGGGAGCACCUGUAUGGAAGGCCCUAGACACUCUAUGAGUUGUAAUUGUUCAGUUGUGAUGAUGGUGGGAAAAUGCAUGUCAGGAGCAGUGGUGGUGAAUGUGUAGAGAACAGAGCAUUGAUGCCCACAGAACUUGUGGGCUGGAGCAUUUGAGACUCGAUUAUCUAGAAUUUAAUAAUUUAAAAAUUGGAAAGAAGACUUUAGGUUAAAUAAGACUUACUGAAGGUUUUUUGUUUUACUGAAGGUAAGCAUAUAUCUCUUCCAAAACGUCAUUAAAAUGAUAGUAAAUGGGAUUGAAAGGCUAUAAACCCACAAAGAGAACAGGAAGGUAGAAAACAGCAGACUAGACGUUAAUAAUGUUUUAGAAGACGGUAUGGAAUGGACACUGAUCUAGAAGAUUAAAAAAAGUACAAGUCUAAAGAGAUUCAGGGGAGCCUUAGUCACACAAAGCUGAGAAAUGUCUUGAGAAUUGGAGGUCCCAGUUUCCUCUGAAGGCAAGGUUGAGACAUGGAGAAAACUAAGAAUUUCCUGAAAGUUCAGAGAGCACUCCAGGUCCGUUUUCCCACAUGCAUAGUCAGGAAAAUGGGGAAAGUGACUAGCUCAAGAAAAAUGAUCUACAUAAGCUGACAUUUGGGGUUCCCUCAGUGAAAAAUCCAGCUCAAUACCUUGUCCCUACAGUGAGCUAACCAAUGAAUACAUACCAUUCAUGCAAGGCACACACAGCUUCCAAUCAGCUUUUUAGUGACUCAUUCUGAAAUACGAGUGGGCCACAGUACCUCAGGACACCUGGA
Molecule: long non-coding RNA, 3713 nt
Organism: Loxodonta africana (African savanna elephant)
Lineage: Eukaryota; Metazoa; Chordata; Mammalia; Proboscidea; Elephantidae
Exons: 5
Source: RefSeq, a predicted model, not a curated record